This 946-nucleotide long non-coding RNA is filed under the name Homo sapiens (human). RNAcentral's name for it is "HSALNT0246388". The record is from RNAcentral. Lineage: Eukaryota; Metazoa; Chordata; Mammalia; Primates; Hominidae.
GGGCGGGGUCUCCGCUGCCUCAGGGACGGGUCUUUUGAAGUGCCUGGUGUGACCCAUCUUCCGUGCUUGAAAUCGACGUAGUGGACCCUGGCUAGCAUAUUUUUCCCUGCCAAGAUUAUUGCAAAAAGACGAUGUGGUGGUUAAUAUCGGAAAGAAUGUGUGGUUAAUAUCAGGAAGAACACGUGAAAUGGAGAAUUUCAGGGCUAACAUUUCUUGUUUUGUUUCUGAAAACAUCGGCAUGUCCUAAAAAGUGUCGCCUGUGCCCAUCAUCUCUCAGGCUUGGGAGCAGGACACCGCCGGCUCACUUUAAAGCCAAGGGAAAGAAUUUGGACAACCAACUACGUCUGGAGAAGACACCAAUGUCAGCAGAGCUCCGCUUUCAUCUGUGGGCGAAGGAUUACCUAGAUGCCAAGGCAAGAGACUGAAGACACAAACUGUUUCAGUAUAACAAAGAAAAUAGGCCGGGAGCGGUGGCUCACGCCUGUAAUCCCAGCACUUUGGGAGGCCGAGGCGGGUGGAUCACGAGGUCAGGAGAUCGAGACCAUCCUGGCUAACACGCUACCUAAAAGGGAAGCGCCCCCUGUCCUAUGAUCACGUGACUUGCUUCACCUUGUCAAUCACUUGGAAGAUUCACCCUCCUUACCCUGCCCUCCUUGUCUUGUAUGCAAUAAAUAUCAGUGCGCCCAGCCAUUCGGGGCCACUACUGGUCUCCGUGUCUUGAUGGUAGUGGUCCCCCGGGCCCAGCUGUUCUCUCUUUAUCUCUUUGUCUUGUGUCUUUAUUUCUCACAAUCUCGUGUCUCCGCACACGGGGAGAAGACCUGCUAAGCCCCAUAGGGCUGUACCCUACAUUCAUCUGAAAGGGACUUGAACCCCAGGUCACCUUGGACAGCCAGCAUCCGGCCAGGGGCACCUUUUAGAAGUUGAAUAGGAUAGGAAGGGAUUGGGG